This 492-nucleotide ribosomal RNA is filed under the name uncultured bacterium. RNAcentral describes it as "partial 16S ribosomal RNA". It matches the Rfam family "Bacterial small subunit ribosomal RNA", at positions 29 to 507 of the family's 1533-position model. The record is from RNAcentral.
AGUGAACGCUGGCGGUAGGCCUAACACAUGCAAGUCGAACGGCAGCACAGUAAGAGCUUGCUCUUACGGGUGGCGAGUGGCGGACGGGUGAGGAAUACAUCGGAAUCUACUUUUUCGUGGGGGAUAACGUAGGGAAACUUACGCUAAUACCGCAUACGACCUACGUGUGAAAGCAGGGUAUCUUCGGACCUUGCGCGAUUGAAUGAGCCGAUGUCGGAUUAGCUAGUUGGCGGGGUAAAGGCCCACCAAGGCGACUAUCCGUAGCUGGUCUGAGAGGAUGAUCAGCCACACUGGAACUGAGACACGGUCCAGACUCCUACGGGAGGCAGCAGUGGGGAAUAUUGGACAAUGGGCGCAAGCCUGAUCCAGCCAUACCGCGUGGGUGAAGAAGGCCUUCGGGUUUUAAAGCCCUUUUGUUGGGAAAGAAAAGCAGCAGGUUAAUACCCCGCUGUUCUGACGGUACCAAAAGAAUAAGCGCCGGCUAACUUCGUG